AAUAUUUUAGGUAUAUAUAUUCUUUUUCUCACAACUGGGUGCAAAUUAUGGAAAUCAUAUCUUAGUUGAACUUUGGGUGACCCCACAUGUCCAUCUUUGUUGAUAGGUACUACAGUAGCCAGCUGUAGGGGACUGCGUCAUCAUGCAUGCCACCUGAUGCGCUUAACCAUCUGCGCACACAGAGGUUACAUGGUCGAGUGGAGGUCCAGGUUCCUUGGUUUAAUCCUUUGUGUGAGCCCGGACGCCUCUGCUUUUUAAUCAGCAACUUAUUAUCAUAUAUUUUUCCCACUUGAGAAUACGCAUAAAUACAUAAAACGAUCUUGCUGUCAGUGUACACCACAAUCCCUCACCCCUGAAGAAGAGGUCCUAUUAAGACGCCUCAAAAUGUUAAAACGUUGGGUUAUCUAUCUUCACCCUAUAGACAGAACUGGGCUGUGCAUCAUCUUUUUUGUCUGUUUAUGUGUUGUCAGUGUUCUCAACAUAACAAUUGUUUGCCUCCCACUUUGUGCUGUCCCUUCCUGUUAUGCCCUUUGAUCUCUUGGAUGUGUUCCAAUGUGUAGUGUAGCCUUUACUACCAAUA
Molecule: long non-coding RNA, 580 nt
Organism: Rana temporaria (common frog)
Lineage: Eukaryota; Metazoa; Chordata; Amphibia; Anura; Ranidae
Exons: 3
Source: RefSeq, a predicted model, not a curated record